GAUGAACGCUGGCGGCGUGCUUAACACAUGCAAGUCGAACGGUGAAGGCGGAGCUUGCUCUGCUGGAUCAGUUGCGAACGGGUGAGUAACACGUGAGCAAUCUGCCCCUGACUCUGGGAUAAGCGCUGGAAACGGCGUCUAAUACUGGAUACGAGCUGCGAAGGCAUCUUCAGCAGCUGGAAAGAAUUUCGGUCAGGGAUGAGCUCGCGGCCUAUCAGCUUGUUGGUGAGGUAAUGGCUCACCAAGGCGUCGACGGGUAGCCGGCCUGAGAGGGUGACCGGCCACACUGGGACUGAGACAAGGCACAGACUCCUACGGGAGGCAGCAGUGGGGAAUAUUGCACAAUGGGCGAAAGCCUGAUGCAGCAACGCCGCGUGAGGGACGACGGCAUUCGGGUUGUAAACCUAUUUUAGCAGGGAAGAAGCGAAAGUGACGGUACCUGCAGAAAAAGCGCCGGCUAACUACGUG
Molecule: ribosomal RNA, 468 nt
Filed under: uncultured bacterium
Lineage: Bacteria
Description: partial 16S ribosomal RNA
Rfam family: Bacterial small subunit ribosomal RNA
Source: RNAcentral